UGAGGAAUAUUGGUCAAUGGGCGAGAGCCUGAACCAGCCAAGUAGCGUGCAGGAUGACUGCCCUAUGGGUUGUAAACUGCUUUUAUGUGGGGAUAAAGUGCGUGACGUGUCAUGCAUUGCAGGUACCACAUGAAUAAGGACCGGCUAAUUCCGUGCCAGCAGCCGCGGUAAUACGGAAGGUCCGGGCGUUAUCCGGAUUUAUUGGGUUUAAAGGGAGCGUAGGCUGUCUAUUAAGCGUGUUGUGAAAUUUACCGGCUCAACCGGUGGCUUGCAGCGCGAACUGGUCGACUUGAGUAUGCAGGAAGUAGGCGGAAUUCAUGGUGUAGCGGUGAAAUGCUUAGAUAUCAUGACGAACUCCGAUUGCGCAGGCAGCUUACUGUAGCAUAACUGACGCUGAUGCUCGAAAGUGCGGGUAUCAAACAGG
This 424-nucleotide ribosomal RNA is filed under the name Fusobacteriota bacterium. RNAcentral's name for it is "Fusobacteria bacterium partial 16S ribosomal RNA". It matches the Rfam family "Bacterial small subunit ribosomal RNA", at positions 355 to 776 of the family's 1533-position model. Lineage: Bacteria; Fusobacteriati; Fusobacteriota. The record is from RNAcentral.